This 1444-nucleotide ribosomal RNA is filed under the name uncultured bacterium. RNAcentral describes it as "bacterial SSU rRNA". It matches the Rfam family "Bacterial small subunit ribosomal RNA". The record is from RNAcentral.
AGGGUUUGAUCAUGGCUCAGGAUGAACGCUGGCGGCGUGCUUAACACAUGCAAGUCGAACGAACCUUCGGGUUAGUGGCGGACGGGUGAGUAACGCGUGAGAAUCUGCCCUCAGGAGGGGGAUAACGGUUGGAAACGACCGCUAAUACCCCAUAUGCCUAUUGGUGAAAUGAAUUUCGCCUGAGGAUGAGCUCGCGUCUGAUUAGCUAGUUGGUGAGGUAAUGGCUCACCAAGGCUUCGAUCAGUAGCUGGUCUGAGAGGAUGAUCAGCCACACUGGGACUGAGACACGGCCCAGACUCCUACGGGAGGCAGCAGUGGGGAAUUUUCCGCAAUGGGCGAAAGCCUGACGGAGCAACGCCGCGUGAGGGACGAAGGCCUCUGGGCUGUAAACCUCUUUUCUCAAGGAAGAAGAUAUGACGGUACUUGAGGAAUAAGCCACGGCUAAUUCCGUGCCAGCAGCCGCGGUAAUACGGGAGUGGCAAGCGUUAUCCGGAAUUAUUGGGCGUAAAGCGUCCGCAGGCGGCUUUUCAAGUCUGCUGUUAAAGCGUGGAGCUUAACUCCAUCAUGGCAGUGGAAACUGAAAGGCUUGAGUAUGGUAGGGGCAGAGGGAAUUCCCGGUGUAGCGGUGAAAUGCGUAGAUAUCGGGAAGAACACCAGUGGCGAAGGCGCUCUGCUGGGCCAUUACUGACGCUCAUGGACGAAAGCCAGGGGAGCGAAAGGGAUUAGAUACCCCUGUAGUCCUGGCCGUAAACGAUGAACACUAGGUGUCGGGGGAAUCGACCCCUUCGGUGUCGUAGCUAACGCGUUAAGUGUUCCGCCUGGGGAGUACGCACGCAAGUGUGAACUCAAGGGAUUGACGGGGGCCCGCACAAGCGGUGGAGUAUGUGGUUUAAUUCGAUGCACGCGAGACCUUACCAGGGUUUGACAUCCUGCGAACCUCUUAGAAAUUUGAGGGUGCCUUCGGGAAUGCAGUGACAGGUGGUGCAUGGCUGUCGUCAGCUCGUGUCGUGAGAUGUUGGGUUAAGUCCCGCAACGAGCGCAACCCACGUUUUUAGUUGCCAGCAUUUAGUUGGGCACUCUAGAAAGACCGCCGGUGAUAAACCGGAGGAAGGUGUGGAUGACGUCAAGUCAUCAUGCCCCUUACACCCUGGGCUACACACGUACUACAAUGCUACGGACAAAGGGCAGCAAACUCGCGAGAGCUAGCAAAUCCCAUAAACCGUGGCUCAGUUCAGAUCGUAGGCUGCAACUCGCCUACGUGAAGUAGGAAUCGCUAGUAAUCGCAGGUCAGCAUACUGCGGUGAAUACGUUCCCGGGCCUUGUACACACCGCCCGUCACACCAUGGAAGUUGGCCAUGCCCGAAGUCGUUACUCCAACCCUUGUGGAGGAGGACGCCGAAGGUGGGGCUAAUGACUGGGGUGAAGUCGUAACAAGGUAACCGUA